This 72-nucleotide transfer RNA is filed under the name Phrynosoma platyrhinos (Desert horned lizard). RNAcentral's name for it is "tRNA-OTHER". Lineage: Eukaryota; Metazoa; Chordata; Lepidosauria; Squamata; Phrynosomatidae. The record is from RNAcentral.
GCAUGCAUAGUGUAAUGGUUUGAGCAUUGGACUAUGACUCUAGACACCAGGGUUCAAAUCCCUGCUUGGCCA